This 442-nucleotide ribosomal RNA is filed under the name uncultured marine eukaryote. RNAcentral's name for it is "SSU rRNA". It matches the Rfam family "Eukaryotic small subunit ribosomal RNA", at positions 619 to 1069 of the family's 1831-position model. The record is from RNAcentral.
UUAAAAAGACUCGUAGUUGGAUUUCGGUUAAGAGCGACCGGUCCGCCGUUUGGUGUGCACUGGUUGGUUUUAACUUCCUGUAGAGGACGUGCUCUGGGCUUAACGGUCUGGACUCGGAGUCUACGUGGUUACUUUGAAAAAAUUAGAGUGUUCAAAGCGGGCUUACGCUUGAAUAUAUUAGCAUGGAAUAACACUAUAGGACUCCUGUCCUAUCUCGUUGGUCUCGGGAUGGGAGUAAUGAUUAAGAGGAACAGUUGGGGGCAUUCGUAUUUCAUUGUCAGAGGUGAAAUUCUUGGAUUUAUGAAAGACGAACUUCUGCGAAAGCAUUUGCCAAGGAUGUUUUCAUUAAUCAAGAACGAAAGUUGGGGGCUCGAAGAUGAUUAGAUACCAUCCUAGUCUCAACCAUAAACGAUGCCGACUAGGGAUUGGUGGAUGUUAAUUG